UAUAACCUAAAAUAAACAUUUACAAUUCUGGAUAGUUAGUGUGAAUAUCUUAAUAAAAAUAGCAUUGGAUAAAGGGGUUUGCACCAGUUAAAUAAUGUGAAAAUAAGGAUUUCUUAGGAGAACUGAACUUCUAAACAAUGUUUAGCUUUUUCACUAUCUUUUGUCAAAUGGGAUAUCCAUUGACUGGCCUGUCUUGCAUCAGUGGGGAUUUCAUCACAUUUGAGGGCGUAGGAUAGAGUGAUUACUAUCUGUCAAAGAUGAUAUGCAGGAACUGCUUUCUGAGGCUUUCACAGAAAUAAAAGAAGCUGACUUUAGAAGCCUCAUCUACACUGGCCACACUUCACUACACUGCCAUUGAGAGCACUCAUUUCAUUCGCUUCAUCACUGCAUCUCUCUCUCUUUCUCUGCCUACAUUUUUAAUGUGCCACAUUAAUGUAUACAAUAUGCUUUAAACGUUAAAGGUGCCUGAAACAAAGUGCCAUAGAUGUAGUCGUGUGGAGAUAUUAUGUUUUUAAAGUGCGCAAAAGUUAUAAACAAACACUGUGAAACUUAUUUUAAGAGCGCGGAUGUGAAAACCAUUCUUUUUUCCCCUUUAAAAGACAGAAUAAAGUUAUUUUAACGCAGCAGCAAACUGUACUCAAAUAUAAAGUGGCUAUUAUAUUUAACUCUCUUAGCUUCAAAUGAAGGCCUACAUUACAGAUUUGGUAAUUAUAUUUUUAAUUGGUAAUAAUUAAUUUAAUAAUUUUUUACUGUAAAUUCGCGUUUAUUAGUUUCUCAGUGAGAAGGUUUGAUGAAUCAAUUCUCUCAAAUAAAUGUGAGAAGUGUGUUUUUGUCUGUCGCACGCGGUGUAUUUUUACACAAUCGCUCAAUACAGUUUCUCUUGUGUUGCACAUAUAACCUGUGCCAUGAGCACUAACGAGUGUACAUGAAACCAAACAAGGGCACAAAAGAGAAGCUCGAGAAACACAAACAUCACCGGAGAAAAAAUGACCAAAGAAUUCGUCUACAGGGACAGGAUGACUGCUUGCAAUCGAGGGAAAGAUGAAUGCGGCCAAGUACAGGGAUGUCCUGGAUGAAAACCUUCUCCAGAGUGCUCAGGACCUCAGACUGGGCCGAAGGUUCACCUUCCAACAAGACACUGACCCUAAGCACACAGCUAAAAUAACAUAAGAGUGGCUUCACAACAACUACGUAACUGUUCUUGAAUGGCCCUGCCAGAGCCCUGACUUAAACCCAAUUGAGCAUCCUGAAUGGGGAGACCUGAAAACGGCUGUCCACCAAUGUUUCCCAUCCAACCUGACAGAACUGGAGAGGAUCUGUAAGGAGGAAUGGCACAGGAUCCCCAAAUCCAGUCACUCUCAUUGUGCUCCUCAUCGACGCUGCUGUUCACACUGUAAGCUGUUAACUGAGGAAGUCUGGAGGUAAAUGUCCCAGCUCUGUG
Long non-coding RNA from Carassius auratus (goldfish), 1441 nucleotides. RefSeq lists it as uncharacterized. NCBI's taxonomy places the organism in Eukaryota, Metazoa, Chordata, Actinopteri, Cypriniformes, Cyprinidae. The record is from RefSeq and is a predicted model, not a curated record. The transcript has 3 exons.